UCUCCGUAGGUGAACCUGCGGAGGGACCAUUCAGGAAGCAGGCGCUCCGUCGCCCUUCUCUACCUUCAACCAUGUGGUCUUCUGCCAUUGCCUCGGGGGGGUGUGAAGCGGCCCUGGCCGCGGGGUCCUCGCUGGCCCGGCCCCCCCGGCGUGCCUAAAGUCUUGGAGUGAUGAUUGUGCCUGAUCAGUCCGGUGGACAGAAUGAAUUAAAACUUUCAACAACGGAUCUCUUGGCUCUC
RNAcentral lists this unclassified non-coding RNA (239 nucleotides) under plant metagenome. Its description in RNAcentral is "partial contains small subunit ribosomal RNA, internal transcribed spacer 1, and 5.8S ribosomal RNA". The record is from RNAcentral.